CAAUAGCGUAUAUUAAAGUUGUUGCAGUUAAAAAGCUCGUAGUUGGAUUUCUGGUGGGAGCGAUCGGUCUGGCGCUUAGCGCGAGUACUUGCAUCGUCUCCGGCCAUCCUUGGGGAGAGUCUGUCUGGCAUUAGGUUGUCGGGCAGAGGAUCCUCAUCGUUUACUGUGAAAAAAUUAGUGUGUUCAAAGCAGGCUUAUGCCGUUGAAUAUAUUAGCAUGGAAUAAUAAGAUAGGACUUUGGUACUAUUUUGUUGGUUUGCGCACCAAAGUAAUGAUUAAUAGGGACAGUUGGGGGUAUUCGUAUUCCGUUGUCAGAGGUGAAAUUCUUGGAUUUACGGAAGACGAACUACUGCGAAAGCAUUUACCAAGGAUGUUUUCAUUAA
RNAcentral lists this ribosomal RNA (383 nucleotides) under uncultured eukaryote. RNAcentral's name for it is "partial 18S ribosomal RNA". It matches the Rfam family "Eukaryotic small subunit ribosomal RNA", at positions 592 to 976 of the family's 1831-position model. The record is from RNAcentral.